This 27-nucleotide non-coding RNA is filed under the name Mus musculus (house mouse). Lineage: Eukaryota; Metazoa; Chordata; Mammalia; Rodentia; Muridae. The record is from RNAcentral.
AGUGGACUGAUUCUUCUCUAGUAGCUG